AACGAACGCUGGCGGCAUGCCUAACACAUGCAAGUCGAACGAGACCUUCGGGUCUAGUGGCGCACGGGUGCGUAACGCGUGGGAAACUGCCCUUAGGUUCGGAAUAACUCCCCGAAAGGGGUGCUAAUACCGGAUAAUGUCUUCGGACCAAAUAGUUAUCGCCCUUGGAUGGGCCCGCGUGGGAUUAGCUGGUUGGUAGGGUAAAAGCCUACCAAGGCGACGAUCCAUAGCUGGUCAGAGAGGAUGAUCAGCCACACUGGGACUGAGCCACGGCCCAGACUCCUGCGGGAUGCAGCAGUGCGGGAUAUUGGAAUGUGGGCUGAGGGCUGAAGCACCUCUGGCGCGAGAGUGAUGUAGGCCGUAAGGUAGAAAAGCGCGUUUACCCGAGAGUAUAAUGACGGUACCGGGAGAAUAAGCUCCGGCUAACUCCGUG
RNAcentral lists this ribosomal RNA (433 nucleotides) under uncultured bacterium. RNAcentral describes it as "partial 16S ribosomal RNA". It matches the Rfam family "Bacterial small subunit ribosomal RNA", at positions 29 to 507 of the family's 1533-position model. The record is from RNAcentral.